Molecule: small RNA, 167 nt
Filed under: Paenibacillus sp.
Lineage: Bacteria; Bacillati; Bacillota; Bacilli; Caryophanales; Paenibacillaceae
Also listed under: 1 other name
Description: c-di-AMP sequence
Rfam family: c-di-AMP riboswitch aptamer (ydaO/yuaA leader)
About the family: This family represents a conserved RNA structure found upstream of the ydaO and yuaA genes in Bacillus subtilis and related genes in other bacteria. The ydaO/yuaA element is thought to act as a genetic "off" switch for the ydaO and yuaA genes in its native state.
Source: RNAcentral
CGCAUAGCUACGCCGAAUUUCCUAAGGAAAACGGGGGAACCAUAAAGCUGUCAGCAUUGACAGCAUGGGGUGAAUUUUUAAAGCGGGAUUUAUCCUGCUGCAAAAUAGGGCUGCCUGUCCAGGCCCGAAUCCGACAGCUAACCUCGUAGGCAUCUGGAACAGGACUC